Molecule: long non-coding RNA, 1666 nt
Organism: Apteryx owenii (little spotted kiwi)
Lineage: Eukaryota; Metazoa; Chordata; Aves; Apterygiformes; Apterygidae
Source: Ensembl
GCGCUCUUGCCAAGAGAAACGAGCCUCAUUCGCGCCGUCGUGGUGUCCUGGCCCGGCCGUGCGGAGGGUCCAGCUCGCUGCGUUCAGGGCGCUUGCAAUCCUCGUUAGCAAGUAAAAAACGCUGCCGCUUCUGUAGCUGCAGGGCCGCAGCCGGUGCGGCUGAGUCUGCAGAGAGCCCCCGGUGCUGACAUGACGGAGAACCUGUUGGAAACCGCUCGCUGAGAUAGUUGGGCACCCUUCCGUCUUGCCACUCAAGCCAGCUAACAAACUGCUGCGGAGGUUUAUUUCUUCCUUCCUUGAGCCAAGGAAAGAGCGAGCUCGUGUUUGCGAGUAGUGUGGUUUUCCAGGCCCACGCGAGAGGGGGGCUGGGGAGCGUUAUUGUCAGGAGGGAUCAUUUGGCCAGGGGCUGGUGGCGCUGAUGCAUUAAUACAACUUGCAGAGGAGCAGUUUUGCUUUUACCUUUGCGAGGAGUGCUGCUGACUUGAGAGGUAUUUUACAACUGACGAAAAGAACAUCAGGAGAGAGCCAGUUCACGUCUCCCGAUAGCGGAGCAGUGCUGAGAGUGCAAGCUGGACGGGCUCUGGGCCGACCGGCGUCUCUCUGGCCCCGUCCCUGGCAGGGCCAGCCCAAAGCUGGAGCCGAAAGCUCUGUAACAAGGUCAGAGUGCGAGGAUCUUGCAUUCCAGAUAUGCUUUGGGGUUGCAAAUGCCAUAAACGGCACAUUUAUCGGAAACAUUCUGAAGAUAAACCCUUAUCGAGCUCCUUAUAAUUACCGGGUUUGGGUGCCUUGUGCUCUGCAAAGGAGAGCAGCAAAAUUUGCUCGAGGAAAAGGCAGGUAUGUAAAAUGCUGCUUACUUUCUCAGGCCACCACCUUGGGAAGGGGUGGAAUUAGCUGCAGCUAAUUAGCUGCAUAGCCUGUAAGUCAUGAUAAGUUUGUGUUGUGUAUAUGGGAGGCUCGCAUGGCCAGUCGUUCUGCAUCAUGGUUACUUUCUUUUUCCCCAGUUAAGCAUGCACUGUGAAGGCAAACAAGUUAAUGUUGAUAAAGUCAAUGCCGAUUCAUUCUGCAUGUUUUGUGAUGCUUUGUAACACGGGACAUUGGUAGGGUGAAAAGUCAUUUGGGAGAAAGGGGGUUGGGACAGGCACGCAGAAGUUUCUCUCUGUCGAGCUGAGAAUUUGCAGCUGAAGCAGUCGCUGGUGCGGGUUUUUCUGGCUCCCCAGCAGUUCUCUGCUUUCAUGGUUCAGGGCUUUCUUGGCCCCAAAGUGUCGGCCGUAGGUGGUGGCUUCUCAUGGUCUGCUUUUAACAGAGGAGGAGAGCGUGGAAACGUUCUGUAGGUUAGGGCUGUGUGUGUGCCCCGAGAAGUCACCUAAGCCUUUAUUUCAAUGGUAAUAUUAAAGAUCCCAGUAAAGGAAAAUAUUGUAUUUUGUGCUGAGCAGAAAUUUAAAUGCUAACAUUACAAAGUUUUUCUUAGCUUUACUGAUGGGAAUGAACACAUUAUCUAAAAAAGUUUCAUUGUCAUGUACUUAUUUGUCUGGUAUUAUUUGGAACUACAAGUUAAAGAAGUUAUGUCCUGGUUAGGAAGUUUUAUACUGCCAUGAUUUUAUCAGUUUUGAACACAAUGCAUUUAAGGUAGAAGAUCACCAUAUAAUAAACCCAGUUACAUGUUACA